GCCCUGUGGUGUAACCGGAAACAUACGGGAUUUCUACUCUUGUGAAGCGGGUUCGAAUCCUGUCAGGGCUA
Molecule: transfer RNA, 71 nt
Filed under: Bacteroidia bacterium
Lineage: Bacteria; Pseudomonadati; Bacteroidota; Bacteroidia
Description: tRNA-Arg
Rfam family: tRNA
About the family: Transfer RNA (tRNA) molecules are approximately 80 nucleotides in length.
Source: RNAcentral